UUCUGUGACUUUGAAGGGAUUUCCUCAGUAUUUUAAGAUAUUUUCAUAUUUAGCUAUCUAAAUCCAGAUUUGGAGGCUGUAUUGUUCUGUAUCUUGCUGAAAAAUUGACCAUUACUAAGUCCAGUCUUUUCACAGAAAGGGAAAACAAUGAC
Perognathus longimembris pacificus (Pacific pocket mouse) is the source of this 152-nucleotide long non-coding RNA. RefSeq lists it as uncharacterized. The transcript is spliced from 3 exons. NCBI's taxonomy places the organism in Eukaryota, Metazoa, Chordata, Mammalia, Rodentia, Heteromyidae. The record is from RefSeq and is a predicted model, not a curated record.